UGGGGAAUCUUGGACAAUGGGCGCAAGCCUGAUCCAGCCAUGCCGCGUGAGUGAAGAAGGCCUUCGGGUUGUAAAGCUCUUUUACCAGGGACGAUAAUGACGGUACCUGGAGAAUAAGCCCCGGCAAACUUCGUGCCAGCAGCCGCGGUAAUACGAAGGGGGCUAGCGUUGUUCGGAAUUACUGGGCGUAAAGCGCACGUAGGCGGAUUGUUAAGUCAGAGGUGAAAUCCCGGAGCUCAACUUCGGAACUGCCUUUGAUACUGGCAAUCUAGAGUCCGGAAGAGGUUAGUGGAAUUCCCAGUGUAGAGGUGAAAUUCGUAGAUAUUGGGAAGAACACCAGUGGCGAAGGCGGCUAACUGGUCCGGUACUGACGCUGAGGUGCGAAAGCGUGGGGAGCAAACAGG
Molecule: ribosomal RNA, 404 nt
Filed under: uncultured bacterium
Lineage: Bacteria
Description: bacterial SSU rRNA
Rfam family: Bacterial small subunit ribosomal RNA
Source: RNAcentral